Oncorhynchus gorbuscha (pink salmon) is the source of this 361-nucleotide long non-coding RNA. RefSeq lists it as uncharacterized. NCBI's taxonomy places the organism in Eukaryota, Metazoa, Chordata, Actinopteri, Salmoniformes, Salmonidae. The transcript has 3 exons. The record is from RefSeq and is a predicted model, not a curated record.
UGACCUCCUCUCUGAAGGUCCCCAGCAGUGUGUGUUGUGUGGUCAGCUGGCAUAUGAGGAGUGUGUGGACUGCUUCAGAGACCCAGUCUUCAGCAGGACAGGAUUUAAAGUGUUCUGCAGGACCUGCUCCUCUCAGGUGCACUCUCACCCCGAGCGGCUGUCCCACAGCCCCUCCCCCCUGCAGCUCCCUGAGGGUUACCCUGCCCACACUACCCUCCGACCCCCACCCCCUGCCCCACCCAGAGAGAGACUGGAGCUGUUUGCAGUGCUGUGCAUAGAGACCAGUCACUAUGUCUCCUUCAUCAAACAUGGACCAAACAGCACAGACUGGAUCUUCUUUGACAGCAUGGCUGACAGACAU